UACGAAGGGGGCUAGCGUUGCUCGGAAUUACUGGGCGUAAAGCGCACGUAGGCGGAUUGUUAAGUCGGGGGUGAAAUCCUGGAGCUCAACUCCAGAACUGCCUUCGAAACUGGCGAUUCUUGGAGUUCGGAGAGGUGAGUGGAACUGCGAGUGUAGAGGUGAAAUUCGUAGAUAUUCGCAAGAACACCAGUGGCGAAGGCGGCUCACUGGCCCGAUACUGACGCUGAGGUGCGAAAGCGUGGGGAGCAAACAGGG
RNAcentral lists this ribosomal RNA (255 nucleotides) under uncultured bacterium. RNAcentral describes it as "partial 16S ribosomal RNA". It matches the Rfam family "Bacterial small subunit ribosomal RNA", at positions 524 to 777 of the family's 1533-position model. The record is from RNAcentral.